GACGAACCGUCCAAACGUUAUUCGGAAUCACUGGGCUUAAAGGGUGCGUAGGCGGCGCGGCAAGUUGGGUGUGAAAUCCCUCGGCUCAACCGAGGAACUGCGCCCAAAACUGCCGUGCUUGAGGGAGAUAGAGGUGAGCGGAACUUAGGGUGGAGCGGUGAAAUGCGUUGAUAUCCUAAGGAACACCGGUGGCGAAAGCGGCUCACUGGAUCUCUUCUGACGCUGAGACACGAAAGCUAGGGUAGCGAACGGG
This 253-nucleotide ribosomal RNA is filed under the name uncultured bacterium. Its description in RNAcentral is "partial 16S ribosomal RNA". It matches the Rfam family "Bacterial small subunit ribosomal RNA", at positions 524 to 776 of the family's 1533-position model. The record is from RNAcentral.